Molecule: long non-coding RNA, 1760 nt
Organism: Chinchilla lanigera (long-tailed chinchilla)
Lineage: Eukaryota; Metazoa; Chordata; Mammalia; Rodentia; Chinchillidae
Source: Ensembl
UGGAAAUGUCACUAGUUUAAAAUCAGUGGAGUUGCUUUUGUUCUUUUUUAUCCAUGAUCAAAUUGGUUUGAUUUGGUCCCAAGUACUUUAUAGUAACCUCCCAAGUACAGGAGACUGAAUGGGAGAAACCUCAUGGAGCACAGUGGUGCUCUUAAAGUUCUGGAAACUGCGUUGCUAGGAAACAACUUUACCACCAGUUCAGUUUCAACUUGGAGCAUCUGCUUCAUUUGAAGUGUGGCUUCCAGGCAGUAUAGAUUGCACUGCGCAUCGGGGAGGGGGAAAAAGCAAAAGAAAAACCAAUUACUUUCUAAAAGCAACAACAAUGCUAACAGCCUUGAAAGGAGAGAGUCUUAUGCUAUAUUUGUAAUUAUACCCUUUGGAAAGUGUUGCUGGAGGGUGUCUGUCUGCUAACUCAUAAAGCUGAAGUCCAAAAUAGCAAGAGGAAUCACUCAGAUACAGGACCCAAAGACAGGGAGAAAGAUUUUAUCACGUAUGCAAGGCAUAGAUUAGAACUUCCCUUCUGCCUGUUCCGUAUGUCAUCGCCUCAUGAUGGUCUGUGACAGCAUAAACAACGCAGAGAGUGGAAACUCAAGGGUCCCAGCACCACUUUUCAAAGCACAUGAGCUUAAAUAAAUAGCAAUGUUUCAAGUGUUCCACAUGGAGAAAAAUAAAGUUCUAUACUGAUAAAAGGAAUGUGCCAUGACCUUCGUCCAGUGAAAGCAGAGGGGGUUCUUAUUUUUACGACAACAAGCCCAGGUCCUGAAAAGAUUUGGUGUCUAAAUAUAGAAGAAAUGGCCUAGGAGCCAUGAAAAACAAAGCAAAUAUUUGACUUGGAUUGCUGAAGCCCCCAAGGUAUUUAGAAAAAGCAAACCAAGCACCGAACCCUCAACACUGGCUUCAGGAAGUGCCUCAAGUUCCAGCCACAAGUGCCAAUCACGGAGGAAACAGGCCACUCUGAACCACGGUCAGCAGAAGCAUCCACAGGCUGGAGUCCUCUGUCCUUCCUGUUAUCAGAUUCUCCACUCCUACAUCCAAACACUCUGGAUCUGCCGUGUGCCAGUGGGUGACAAGUCCAUCAACAGCAGGAGGCUGACUGUAGAAGCUACAGCAUUAUGAAGCUUUCAAGGUCACCUUACCCUUCUCAUUCUUGUUCUUUCUUUUAAUUUCAAGAGGCAGCCAGCACAUUAUUUAAUAUGAGGGUGAUUAGCAGAAGUGAAAGACAAAUAAUCACAGAGGGCAGAAACAUAAAGUAGGUUGUUUAGAGGGAAAAUGUGCUUCUCAGUAGGUUGACAUUUUCUAUUCAUUUCUACCAAGUUUCAAGCAGUGGUUUACCAAGAGUCCUAGCUCGAGGAAAGAGUGUAUCUACCAGUAAUCGGAUCUUCUAAAGACAACCUGUGUCUGCCGGAGUUCUGGCGAGCACCCAGACUACGACAAACCAAAAUGUUAAAUGUUAAUGGGAAAAUCAUGCAUCAUAGCAAGUAAAACUAUGGCAGGCCUGAGUGAAUGUGCUUUUGGGUAGUAGCUGAUCAAAGAAUGGAUUUUAUUGUACAUUUUGAAAAUGUAUGUUACUGACCAAAGUCACAAAAAGUACUAAAAUGAGUCAAUCCUUCUGCAGCAAGAGACCCUUAUGUUGAGAAUUAUAUGUGUAUUUUUAAAAAAUUUCCUCAGUAUUGGUUUUUAAUAAAAUUUUGUUCCGUAAAAUUACACUAGUGCUAGGAAUUUCCAUAACCUCAGAGUUUACUGUAUCAUUUGAACUUUUG